This 253-nucleotide ribosomal RNA is filed under the name uncultured bacterium. RNAcentral's name for it is "partial 16S ribosomal RNA". It matches the Rfam family "Bacterial small subunit ribosomal RNA", at positions 524 to 776 of the family's 1533-position model. The record is from RNAcentral.
UACAGAGGGUGCAAGCGUUAAUCGGAAUUACUGGGCGUAAAGCGCACGUAGGCGGUUUUUUAAGUCAGAUGUGAAAGCCCCGGGCUCAACCUGGGAAUUGCAUUUGAAACUGGGGAACUAGAGUGUGUGAGAGGGGGGUAGAAUUCCGAGUGUAGCGGUGAAAUGCGUAGAGAUUUGGAGGAAUACCAGUGGCGAAGGCGGCCCCCUGGCACAACACUGACGCUCAGGUGCGAAAGCGUGGGGAGCAAACAGG